RNAcentral lists this ribosomal RNA (354 nucleotides) under Enterobacter hormaechei. RNAcentral describes it as "partial 23S ribosomal RNA". It matches the Rfam family "Bacterial large subunit ribosomal RNA", at positions 167 to 559 of the family's 2925-position model. Lineage: Bacteria; Pseudomonadati; Pseudomonadota; Gammaproteobacteria; Enterobacterales; Enterobacteriaceae. The record is from RNAcentral.
UAGGUUAACGAGGCGAACCGGGGGAACUGAAACAUCUAAGUACCCCGAGGAAAAGAAAUCAACCGAGAUUCCCCCAGUAGCGGCGAGCGAACGGGGAGCAGCCCGGAGUCUGAAUCAGCUUGUGUGUUAGUGGAACGGUCUGGAAAGUCCGACGGUACAGGGUGAUAGUCCCGUACACGAAAAUGCACAGGUUGUGAACUCGAAGAGUAGGGCGGGACACGUGGUAUCCUGUCUGAAUAUGGGGGGACCAUCCUCCAAGGCUAAAUACUCCUGACUGACCGAUAGUGAACCAGUACCGUGAGGGAAAGGCGAAAAGAACCCCGGCGAGGGGAGUGAAAAAGAACCUGAAACCGU